CCUACGGGAGGCAGCAGUGAGGAAUAUUGGUCAAUGGACGAGAGUCUGAACCAGCCAAGUAGCGUGAAGGAUGAAGGCCCUAUGGGUUGUAAACUGUUUUUAUAUGGGAAUAAAAUAGGGUAUGCAUACCCUCUUGUAUGUACCAUAUGAAUAAGGAUCGGCUAACUCCGUGCCCGCAGCGGCGGUAAUACGGAGGAUCCGAGCGUUAUCCGGAUUUAUUGGGUUUAAAGGGAGCGUCGGUGGAUUCUUAAGUCCGUUGUGACAGUUUGCGGCUCAACCAUAAAAUUGCAGUUGAAACUGGGAGUCUUGAGUGCAGUAGAGGUGGGCGGAAUUCGUGGUGUAGCGGUGAAAUGCUUAGAUAUCACGAAGAACUCCGAUUGCGAAGGCAGCUCACUGGACUGCAACUGACGCUGAUGCUCGAAAGUGUGGGUAUCAAACAGGAUUAGAUACCCUGGUAGUC
This 460-nucleotide ribosomal RNA is filed under the name uncultured bacterium. RNAcentral's name for it is "partial 16S ribosomal RNA". It matches the Rfam family "Bacterial small subunit ribosomal RNA", at positions 338 to 795 of the family's 1533-position model. The record is from RNAcentral.